UUUGACCUCGAAUCAGGUAGGACUACCCGCUGAACUUAA
Molecule: ribosomal RNA, 39 nt
Filed under: uncultured Nectriaceae
Lineage: Eukaryota; Fungi; Ascomycota; Sordariomycetes; Hypocreales; Nectriaceae
Description: partial 28S ribosomal RNA
Source: RNAcentral